Molecule: non-coding RNA, 114 nt
Organism: Branchiostoma floridae (Florida lancelet)
Lineage: Eukaryota; Metazoa; Chordata; Leptocardii; Amphioxiformes; Branchiostomatidae
Source: Rfam
GUUGGCUACGGAGACCAAUACCCCGUUUCUCUCCCGGGCAAAAUCGUCGGCUCCAUGUGCGUGGUCACCGGCCUUCUUGUCAUCGCGUUGCCCGUACCGAUCAUCGUAGAAAAU